GUUGGAUCCUAGUGACUCAAGUCCUGGGUCUCCUUUGUUGUGAUGUCAUGAUGCGUCAGUUUUUUGUUUUGUUUUCCAGUUGGGAAAUUCAAGUUGGGAGUUCAAGACAUGAACUCCUCUGUGGUUUAGCAUCUGGUUGGAAGCUUAUGUUGCUCUAAAAUCUGCAUUAGUGCCAGUCUUUUUGCACUCCCUUUUUAACUGAACACUAACAGCAAGCCAGAUGGUUACUUUCCCCUUUAGUCUGGAGGAUGCCAUGUCCUUGUUUUCCAAAAAGAAAUUUUACAUUUCAAUUUAUUUGACCACUCAGUUUUCCACUUGGUCCCUUUUAAAUGAGCAUUGGCCAAGAGAAGUUGACAUGAUCUAAGCUUGCUUGACAGAGAUUUAACCUGUGUUUGUGGACGGCACACUGAUCUGUGUUUGCGCACAAUGAUUCCUAGAUGUGUUCCUGAGCACAUCCAAGGAUUUUCAUGACAAAUUCAUGCUUGCUUUUAAAGCAGUGCUCUGCGAGGGCCCAGAGAGCACAGUCGCCCCGUAUUGAUUUUUUGCCUUGUUGUGCACAGAUUUCCCAAGAGUAUCUGAAAGUUUUGAUGAUAUUAUGUAGCGCAGACGAUGAGUCAUCAAAGUCUUUGCAGUUUUGUGCUGAGGAACAUUAUUCGGAUAUUGUAACCCUACAUGUCUAAGCUUUUUAUUUUUACUCAGGUUACUGACCUGAUGUGAAUUAACCUAAUUAGUCCCUCCACCUGUUUCUUUUUAAUAAUCCUCACUUUUCCAGGUAUUUGUUGCUCCCAUCCCAGUUUUUUGAGACAUGUUGUUGCCACUAAAUUCCAAAUCUAUUUUCCAGGAAAUAGUAAAAUGUCACUUUUUAACAGUUGAUAUAUUUUCUGUGUUCUAUUAUGAAUAAGAUAUAGUUUUAUGAGAUUUGAGUAUUACUAUAUUCUAUUUUUACUUACACAAUGCAUAUUUGGCACAUCUUUUUUCAAACAUAAAAAAAAUGUGUCCAAUUUACUAUUUUGAAAAUUAAUUUGCACAGACAGCGCUUCCCUUCUCAUGCUUCCCCAACAGCAGACUCAGUAUAUCUUUCAGCUGCCUCUCCAGAGAACCUCUAAUUGUUACAUUGUUACAAUCUUAGAUUGACAUUAGUCUGCUCUGGAGACCAACAGAGAAAAUGCUGGAGAGACACCAUAAUACAAUAGACUUUAAUUUAUUUGCCAUAAUUGCCAGUUAAUAAGGGAAGAGCCAAAAAUAACUUUAUUUUUAAAAAUAAGACAACAAUAAGGAAGUGAUAACCAUGGUUAAAGUUGGAACAUAAUCACCAUCACUCACUCACUUACAUCUUCCUGCUCAUGAUUCAUGGUCAUUUUGUCAUCUGGCAGUGGAAACAUUGUUGGAUGCCAUUUGAAAUUUGAAAGCGCUCGUAGAGCUGGACGUUUAUGCACUUUAUGUGUGUUUUUAAAUGAGUAAAACUGAUUCCAGGGUUUGUAUGACUGCUUAUGAUAACGAUUUGAUACCGAAGGCUCCAAGGCAGUGUCUGUUGAAUGUCCCGCAAAGGGCUGCAAAAACCAAGGACAUGGUGGGGUUCAAUUCAGUUUACACUCAGGGGAUGGAGAUUUAGUUAGAAUCAGAAGUUACAAAUUACUCUAAUAUAAGAGAUCAGCCAUUUUACUCAAUAUUUAAAAGUGAGCAAAGCAAAAAACGUUCUAACCAUUCAGUCAGAUUUGAAGUAAAAGCCUAUUUUUGAGGGGGUUUAUGAAAUGUUGCCUGAGAUUUCUAAGAGGAAAAUUCUACAGCGAGACAUGUACCACAUAACAUGUGCUCUAAAUCUGAUUACUGGACUGAUAUGUAAAAGUCAGACUGCACUUCUGAAUCAGCUGCGUUUGAAAAUGAAUUCAACCCAACCCCGGUGACAGAAAGUCGGAGGAAGAGGGAAAGAGAAACGAGCGCGCACACCAGCUUCCGUUCUUCUUCCCUCGGUCUCUUUAUUAGCUAUAACUAUAUACUAUUUCUGAAACUAGAAUAAUAAAUGUAUUAUUGAGUAUAUUAUCAACCCAUUCACUAAAACAAAAGCACAUAAUGUCUGUAAAUGGUAAUCUUUGGGUUGUCUUUUCAUUCUGAGUGAUUAUCAUCUCUAGGUUACAUGAGAUUGUAACUCCUUGAAUAUUAUUAUCAUGUUGCUGGUGUUUCUAUGAUCGUAAUGGUUAUUGCAGGGUAUACAUUUUUUUGUAAUAUUUUUAUAUUCGUUUCGAUGACUUUUUAUUUUUCUUUCUCUUGCUUAUGUACACUAACAGUCAGUGGUGUCACGUGGAAAGCAUGUGAACAAAAGUGAGAGGCAACACCCUGCUUCACCCUCACAACGCUGGAACUGGAAGCUGGCCGAUAAAAGCCUCCCUGUUGGGUCAGUUUAGGAGUGGCUCCCCUGGGACAAUUGGGUGUUAUGUGCCUUGCUCAGGGGCACGUCAGUAUUUGAAAGAAAGUAAUUUUUCUUUUCUAACCAUUCUACAUAUAACUAGACAACUUUCUGGACCACAGUUUGUUUGUUAUUUUUGCUGUUGUUGUUGUUUUUUACCCAGUUGUCACUUUGAAUGUGUAUAAUCUUUUUAGUGUAAAUGUUUUUUUCUAUUCUGUUUACAUGUAAUUAAUUCUUCCGUUGUCUUUUAGAGAAAUAUUUUUGAAACGUUUGUCUUAUUUGCGAAUAAGGUUGGGCAACUGGAUCAAUAGGCCCAUAUAACCCGUCAGCUGUUUAUUAUUUAUGUCAUUUAGUUUUUCUAAUUUAGUGGUCUGCCUCUAUGAAAAUUCAGUUUGGCAAGACGUCGAGGUGUAAAUCACAGUUACAAUUAGCAGCGUUAGGAUGUUCGCGUUUAUUUUCUUGAGAGUGAGUUGUCAUGGAGACCUGACAUUAUAUGGUAGUGAUGGCGCUGCAGAAUGUCGAGUUCCUGUGAAAGUCUUUAUUGUCCGACAACUUUCCAAGCUAACAAGUGAUUCCAGAGCUAUGCUAUGUAAGCUAGCUGCAUGUUGCACAUCAGUACAUUAUAGUUUUCUGCACCUGAUCACUUAAAAACCCUUUCAGAACCUGAAAGGUAUCCUGCUUCAUUUGGGUCUAACAGCUUGCAAAUUUAGUCCAGUUUAAAAUAAUUAUCAUAACUAUUUUGUUUGGGGUUUUUUGGCAGUGAACAAGAGUGUGUGCAGCUAGGGGGAGAAGUGGCUGCUGCAUACACGCCCAUCCUGUAUAAUAUAAAGGCAACUGCUGAUUGUUGGACUGACGAUGGCCAGCUGGCAGAUUUUACCACGUCGCCCGGCCCUGUUUCCUAAUGUUAGAUUUUUCUUUGGUGUUUUCUCUUUCUCUAAACUAUUUUACUCUCCUUCCAUUUUAUUCUUCUAUAACCCUGAUCCUCAUUUCUCUCCAUCAUCAUUUUGUCUUCAUUUCGUUGUAGGAAAUGAAUUGAUGUUUUACUUUCUAAACAUUACCAACGUAGCCUAAUAAUCAGUGUUUUUAAUGUUCUGACUAGUGUAUAACUGUAAGCGAUAGACUUUAUAUUAAUCUAUUUAUUUUGGUGGUGGUAUGUAUAGAUAUUCUUAAUGUUAUAUUGUUUCAGAGUUCCUACACCUGUAACUUUGGGCUAUAAAAGGCUUUAUGCCUGCCUGUGACAUAUGCUCAGUAGCCUAAGUGCUGGCAAAGUAAAUGUGGUCUGUGUUGGUGCUGUCUAUGGUUUUUACACAAUAAUCUUUGAGUACAACAAACUACAUCUUUGUUACAGAACUAAAUCGACUCUAGAGCACGUCCUAAUCUUGUAGUUUUGCUUUCUGCAAAAUGUUUAUGAAAACAUGCUCAAAAGCAGCGAUCUCGUUCUUUCGUUUUCAAUUCAUGUCCUGAUGUGAAAGCCAUUUUAAAGCCAGCGUGAGUCACCAGGUUCUUUUCCCAACACCUAGGCUGCUGACACAAGUCAAACAUGAAGCUCUUCAGAUGGAAAACUAGUAAAUUUCCACUCAGCAGACUGAUACACGGAAGGAACAAUAUGGAAAAGGGGAAGCAAUACAAUACAAUAUACUGAUCCUCAUUGGUAAAGACAAAAAAUAUAAGGUAUAUAUAAAUAUAUACAUAUAUAAAUAUAUAGAUAUAUUCAAUAAAGUUCUCUAUGAAAAAUG
This is a long non-coding RNA of Astatotilapia calliptera (eastern happy), 4140 nucleotides long. NCBI's taxonomy places the organism in Eukaryota, Metazoa, Chordata, Actinopteri, Cichliformes, Cichlidae. The record is from Ensembl.